RNAcentral lists this ribosomal RNA (324 nucleotides) under uncultured Chloroflexota bacterium. RNAcentral describes it as "bacterial SSU rRNA". It matches the Rfam family "Bacterial small subunit ribosomal RNA", at positions 29 to 351 of the family's 1533-position model. Lineage: Bacteria; Bacillati; Chloroflexota. The record is from RNAcentral.
AAUGAACGUUAGCGGCGCGCCUGAUGCAUGCAAGUCGAACGCUCAAGUUAUCCGCAAGGAUGACAAGAGAGUGGCGAACGGCUGAGUAACGCGUGAGUAACCUACCUCCGAGUGGGGAAUAACUUGCCGAAAGGCAGGCUAAUUCCGCAUGUGCUGAUAAGCGAUAGUUUUUCAGUAAAGCUUUCGGGUGCUUGGAGAAGGGCUUGCGUCUGAUUAGCUAGUUGGUAGGGUAAUAGCCUACCAAGGCGAUGAUCAGUAGCUGGUCUUAGAGGACGACCAGCCAGACAGGGACUGAGACACGGCCCUGACUCCUACGGGUGGCAG